Molecule: ribosomal RNA, 492 nt
Filed under: uncultured bacterium
Lineage: Bacteria
Description: partial 16S ribosomal RNA
Rfam family: Bacterial small subunit ribosomal RNA
Source: RNAcentral
AGUGAACGCUGGCGGUAGGCCUAACACAUGCAAGUCGAACGGCAGCACAGUAAGAGCUUGCUCUUACGGGUGGCGAGUGGCGGACGGGUGAGGAAUACAUCGGAAUCUACUUUUUCGUGGGGGAUAACGUAGGGAAACUUACGCUAAUACCGCAUACGACCUACGGGUGAAAGCAGUGGAUCUUCGGACCUUGCGCGAUUGAAUGAGCCGAUGUCGGAUUAGCUAGUUGGCGGGGUAAAGGCCCACCAAGGCGACGAUCCGUAGCUGGUCUGAGAGUAUGAUGGGCGACACUGGAGCUGAGACACGGUCGAGACUCCUAGGAGAGGCAGCAGUAGGGACUAUUGCUGAGUGGGCGAAAGCCUGACGUAGCUACUCCGCGUGAGUGAUGAAGAUCUAAGGAUCGUGAAACUCUGUUAUUAGGGAAGAACAAAUGUAUAAGAAUCUAUACACGUCCUGACGGUCCCUAAUCAGAAAGCAACUGCUAACUUCGUG